GAUGAACGCUGGCGGCGUGCUUAACACAUGCAAGUCGAACGGAAAGGCCCAAGCUUGCUUGGGUACUCGAGUGGCGAACGGGUGAGUAACACGUGGGUGAUCUGCCCUGCACUUCGGGAUAAGCCUGGGAAACUGGGUCUAAUACUGGAUAGGCCCACUUCUUGGAUGUUGUGGUGGAAAGUUUUUUCGGUGUGGGAUGAGCUCGCGGCCUAUCAGCUUGUUGGUGGGGUAAUGUCCUACCAAGGCGUCGACGGGUAGCCGGCCUGAGAGGGUGUACGGCCACAUUGGGACUGAGAUACGGCCCAGACUCCUACGGGAGGCAGCAGUGGGGAAUAUUGCACAAUGGGCGCAAGCCUGAUGCAGCGAUGCCGCGUGGGGGAUGACGGCCUUCGGGUUGUAAACUCCUUUCGCUAGGGACGAAGCGUUUUGUGACGGUACCUGGAGAAGAAGCACCGGCUAACUACGUG
This 467-nucleotide ribosomal RNA is filed under the name uncultured bacterium. Its description in RNAcentral is "partial 16S ribosomal RNA". It matches the Rfam family "Bacterial small subunit ribosomal RNA", at positions 28 to 507 of the family's 1533-position model. The record is from RNAcentral.